UUCUAAUUCAAACGACUCUCUCUCUCUCUCUCUCUCUUUCUCUCUGUCUCUUAUCGUUGCAAUUGAGAGAAUCCAUUCGUUUCUUACAAUAAUAUUAUCUCAACAAAUGAGAUUCCUGACUACAAAAAUAAUUAGAGAUAUGUAGGAAGAUACAUGUGAUGUCGUGGACGAAGUUUUCUCACUAGCUGACAUGAUGAAGAGCCGACCCUUUUCAUGGAGUCACGCGCGAAAGAUGAUUUACUAAGUUUUGGGACGCUAUGACAAAGUAUUUCGUAAAUGAAUGCGGGACAAUAUCCUACUUUUCCAUAGAACUCUUAAGUAAUAAAUGGCGGAGAUGAUAAUUAAUUGUCAUCGGGAAGUUUCCAUGGAUCGUGCUUUGCUGCCCCGCCUAAUCAACGUCCGUUAAUUUGAUGGAUAAAUAAGGGUAGGGAAUCUUGUUGAAAGGUUUAUCACGAUAAAUCGUUCUGGCGGACGUCCUUUACUCUUCAGCGCAUCUAAUUGACAAAGGACACCGCCAACGUCUAAAUGAUGCUUGAAUAAAUCGGUUUCGCUGAUUAAUUAACGUCGCGCAAAUUAAAUAGCCCGCAAUUUUUCGAUGAUAACGCAAAUGCAUAUUGAAUAUUGUUUACAGAAUAGAUUGUUUGUACACUUAAAAGCUUGUUGUUUAAAUGUUUCAGCGUUUGUUACUCUAAUUUAAUUAAAAUAGAGUUUCCGAUUGGUCCGUCGUGCCGUAUGUUUUCAUUUCAUUUCGACAGUUUCUCAAAAUUGUUAUAAAAUAGAACAAUUAAUAGCACAAUUAAUUUUAAGCUAUUUUCUUGUUUAACUUCGGCUUUUGCGUGAGAAAUUAUAGCAAACUUUUUAUUCUACAAUUUUACGUGGGAAAUGUAAAGUUAUAUCUAAUAACGCAUAUAAUUGAGACAAUUAGAGAAAUAUUGGAAAAUUAUUUUAAAACAACUAAUGAAUUAAUUCAUUAGUUCAAUUGUUUCAAUUGUUUCAACAUCAUAAAGAAACUUUGCAAAUUUGAAUAAAAUAUUGAUGAGUCGUG
Wasmannia auropunctata (little fire ant) is the source of this 1045-nucleotide long non-coding RNA. RefSeq lists it as uncharacterized. The transcript has 2 exons. NCBI's taxonomy places the organism in Eukaryota, Metazoa, Arthropoda, Insecta, Hymenoptera, Formicidae. The record is from RefSeq and is a predicted model, not a curated record.